GUAUUGUUGACAUGAAGAAAAAGCUAUUUCGAGGUUGUUUUGACCAUUGAUUGCUAAGUAGGUCAAACUCAAAGUUUUAACUUUUAUUGAUAUUUUAUUUAGUUAAGGAAUCUUCGAGUAAUAGUUAAAAAAAAUCUUUCGCAUUCUAAUUCUAUAGCUAAAUCAUGUGUUGUUGCUAUAUUAUAAACUUUCGUGCAUGAGCCAUUUAAAUCCGUUUGCAUUACUUUUUAGUUGUUUCCCCUGGAAAAUUCUCUUCUUGCUAGCCUUCGCCGAGUUAUUCAACAACAUCGCUAUAUUGCUGAUUUUUGCUGUUGUUUUUUUGGUUAAAGCUGCAUGCUUUUGUUGGAUAAUGUUUAAUUUAUCAUUCACGUUUUACAUAUGAUUCUGUUUAAACCAUAUUUAAUCGAUGUUUUGGUGAAUUUCGCGCAUGCUUAACUUGCCUGAUUUCGGACGUAAUUUACUUUCGGAUACAUGCUCCUCUUGUGUUUUUUUUCGAUGUUUUCUUAUGUAUGCAGAUUAAAAAAAAACAGCUCAUGCUUAAAUGUGUUAUUGAGCAAGUGACUUCUUUAUACUAUGGCAGGAAUAAAAAAACUGUUAUAAAAUUAUAAAGGAAGUUUAGUUACAUGUAUAAACUCACAGUCACAAGUGUGUAAGUAUUACUGUUACAUUUAUUUAUAUUUACUAAAAGUAAAUAUAUGCUCACAUAUCAGUAAGUAUUGUAAAGCCCUAAAUUAUAUUUAAUACACCCAUCUAGGCAGUUAAUUCAUAUAUGUGCUGGCUUUAAUUUACAUUCAUGUUAUUAUCACCCUGCAAUAGGCGGAGGGAUAUUGUUUUGGCCUUGUCUGCCCGUCUUUCCGUCCAUCCGGCACUUUUGUGUUGGGAGCCAUAUCUUGGAAGUGCUUUGGUGGAUUUCAUUGAAACUUGGUAUGAGUAUAUGUAUAGAUAAGAGGAUGAUGCAUGCCAAAUGGCAUUGUACACUAUCUGUUAAUAACGGAGUUAUGGCCCUUGGAACCUAAAAAAAUGCUUUUUUACCUGAGUGUCAAAUAUAACACUUUUGUGUCCAGAAGCUAAUUAGCGGGGGAUAUCAAUUCAAUGAAUUUGCUUGUUAUUAAUUGAAGGGAAAUAAACCUGUUAUUUUGUCUGUCAUUAUGGUGUUUAAAGUCACAUUUAAUGGCAUCCAACCUACUUUAUUUCAAAUACAGUAACACCUGGUGCCGUGACCUGGAUGCAGAUUCUAAGCAGAUGGGCCAAAAUGGGGGCAGCUAGAGAGACUCGCCUGGAACUGACAAGCCUGGAGGGAGCUGGUUGACUGUUGGCGAGAUGGGACAACAGACGAAGAAUAAACGAACCUACUUGAUUUGAUAAACAUUUUUAUGUUUUUCAGUUUCGUCGGAAGACAUUUCCCACCAACCAUCCUGUCUUGAAAGAAAUAACUUUUGAACCCGAUUAUCUGAUAUUUUCCAGUUUCCCCUCACAACAAUUUGCAUCAAACCUCUUGUCUGGGACAUUUGACAGAUUUCCGGGACAGCAGGACAAGUUCUUCAUUUCCGGGACUGUCCCGGACAAUCCGGGACGCAUGGCAUGUAUGAUAUAACAGUUCAUACAGUUUAAGAAAUACAAUACAUUUUAUACAAUGUCGUUUUUAUGCCCCCGAACCAGCGAUUUUGAGGGCAUAUAAAAAUCGCUCCGUCCUUUAGUUUGUUAGUCCAUCCGUCCGUCUGUAAGUUAGUAAGUCCGUCUGUCAAUCCGUCCGGAUUAUUUUCCGUUCAAUAGUCUAGCAAUUGUCAUCAGAUCUUCACCAAACUUCAUGAAAAUGUGUAAGGCAAUAACAUCUAGGUCAAGUUAGAUAAUGGGCCAAAUAGACCCAGACACCCCUGAGUUAUGGCCCUUGAAUCAUAGUAAAAUAGGGUUUUUAGCUCGACUAUUAUAUAUGAAAUAUAUAUAGUGGAGCUUUCCUACUCUCCCCGGGGUUCCAGUGUCCGUGAGCGUUGGAAUGAACUAUAGUGGGGGACAUAUUGUUUUCGCCCUGUCUGUUGGUCUGUCUGUUGGUUUGUUUGCUCCAACUUUAAUAUUUUGCCAUAACUUUUGCAAUAUUGAAGAAAGCAACUUCAUAUUUGGCAUGCAUGUGUAUCUCAUGGAGCUGCACAUUUUGAGUGGUGAAAGGUCAAGGUCAUCCUUCAAGGUCAAAGGUCAAAAUAUACCUAGAAAGGUGCAGAUUUGCUUCAGUUUUGUGUUUAGGUUCAUUUUAUUCCUAAAAUAUCACAGCUAUUACACUAUGCCUCCAAACAAUAUACGAAAGCUUGACCCAAACCAAGACACUCUUGAUGUAAGUAAUGGUAGGUGAACGUAAGAAUUAAAUGCUGGCAAUUCACAUGAAAUUUACAUGAGGGUUUAUUAAUUAUCCAUGGUCCUGAUCCCUUUAAUAUCUGAAAUCCCUGUUUGUGCAUAUAACAUAAUGAGAACACCCUUUGGUCGACCUAACUUUGUAUUUCAAUCAGUUUCUUGUUUUGACCAUUAUUUUUACAUUAUCAUCAAAACUUGUUAGUUUCCUACCCUUGAAAAAGGAGAGGGACUUACGGUUUGCGCUCUGUGUCUGUCAGUCUGACACUUUUCUGGAUCCUUCGAUAACUUUAAAAGUUCUUCACCCAUUUACUUCAAAUUAAUACUGAACCUCUCUUAUGACAAUACGGUCAAUCUCAACUAUGUAUGGCCCCAUUACCAACCCUGGGGUGCCCCUCCCACAUAGGCCACGCCCACCCAAAAUUGCCUUUUACUAUAAUUUCUUCAUUUCUACACCGAUUCACUUCUAAUUGAUACUGAACUUCUCUUAUGACAAUACGGUCAACUAUGCAUGGCCCCAUUACCAACCCUGGGGCGCCCCUGGGUCAAACAUGCGGCGUGGGGAUAUGCGUCGGUCUCUGCCGCGCCAUUUCUAGUCAACAUUGGAGACAUUGGCAUCUUAAAGGAAUAAUUAUGUAUGAGCCCAAAUUUUGCAGAACUAUGGCCCUUGCUCAUUUUUGUUUAGCUCCUCAGCUGAAAUCAUCAUCUAGCAGUCACAAUAGUUGAGCGGUUGGAGAGGCAUGCAUUGCGUCCUACUACUGCUCAGACUAUAUUAUGUUUGGCAGACAAAACAUGCUGAUCAAAAAGAAUGUGUACCACAGGGGCCAGUGUUUCCAUUUGAGUGAUUGACAAGAAGAAGAAGAGAUGAGAAAUGUUAUCAUCAUAUUUUAGUCCCUACAUUUAUAGUGUACAGCUCAAUGUAUUGAACCGGUGUUGUAGAAUAUAAUUGGAGAUACAUUUGAACAUUAUAACAUUAUAUAUAAGAUGAUAUUUCAAAAGCAAUAAGAAAUAAAAAGUAUAAAAAGGUCAAAACAGUAAACCUUGUGUUUACAGUGGACAGGUUUAAAGUGGAAGUGACUAGUUAAUUGUUGAUCAUAAGCUGCACUGAUUGAAAAAAUAGUGGGAAAUUACUAUCUAGAAAACUGUUUAACGUACGACAACAGUUGUGGAACUUCAUAAAUGACCGUAUGUAACAGGGCUGGGCAGUUUUCCUUAUAUAGCUAUAGUGAAACCUUUUGAACACUAGUGAAGUCACUGUUUUUUUUCCAAUCUUCAUGCAUUUUGGUCGAAUAUUUGUUCAAAUGAUGGCUCAGUCCAGUUUCGAAAUUUUUAUGUCUAUUCAAAAAACAUAUCCACUAGAGCACGAGGCAAUUGUCUUUAUAUGGCUAUAAUGAAACCUUGUAAAUUCUCUAGAAGUGACAUUUUUAGCCAUAUCUCCAUAAAUUUUGGUCAGAAUAUUUAUUCUAAUGAUAGCUCAGUUGUCGAGUUUGUAACUGGUUCCGGUUUGUAGACUAACAUGGCUGCCAGUGGACAUGACAGUUUUUCUUAAUGUGCUAGAGUAGAACCUUGUUAACACACAAUUGGCCUUUUUUAUGUGCAUUUUUCAUGAAAGAUGAUCAGAGCAUUUGGCCCAAUGUAAUCUCAGCUGACUUUGAAACUGGAUCACAUAACGUCAAAAAGUGGGUCAAAAUGUCAAAUUAAAAAAAGCUUGUAAACACUGGAAGUUGCAUUUAAAAUUGUGUUCCUUUUUUAUGGGGGACAUAUUGUUUUUGCCCUGUCUGUUGGUUGGUCUGUUGGUUGGUUGGUUUGCGCCAACUUUAACAUUUGCAAUAACUUUUGCAAUAUUGAUGAUAGGAACUUGAUAUUUUGCAUGCAUAUGUAUCUCAUGGAGCUGCACAUUUUGAGUGGUGAAAGGUCAAGGUCAUCUUUCAAGGUCAAAGGACAAAUAUAUGGGUCAAAAUCGCUCAUUUAAUGUACACUUUUGCAGUAUUUCAAUAUUCAAGAUAGCAACUUGAUAUUUGGCAUGCAUGUGUAUCUCAUUGAGCUGCACAAUUUGAGUGGUGAAAGGUUAAGUUCAUCCUUCAUGGUCAGAUGUCAAAUAUAUGUGUCCAAAAUCGCUCAUUUUAUUAUACUUUUGCAAUAUUGAAGAUAGCAACUUGAUAUUUGGCAUGCAUGUGUAUCUCAUGGAUCUGCACAUUUUGAGUGGUGAAAGGUCAAGGUCAUCCUUCAAGGUCAGAGGUCGAAUAUAUGUGGCCCAAAUCGCUUAUUUUAUGAAUACUUUUUCUAUAUUGAAGAUAGCAACUUGAUAUUUGGCAUAAAUGUGUAUCUCAUUGAGCUGCACAUUUUUAGUGGUGAAAGGUCAAGGUCAUCCUUCAAGGUCAAAUAUAUGGGUCAAAAUUGAUCAUGUAAUGUCACUUCUGCAAUAUUGAAGCUAGCAAUUUUAUAUUUGAAAUGCAUGUGUAUCUCAUGGAGCUGCACAUUUUGAGUGGUGAAGGGUCAAGGUCAUCCUACAAGGUCAAACGUCAUAUAGGGGGACAUUGUGUUUCACAAACACAUCUUGUUUAAAGUUUGUCAAAACAUUUGCUGUAAUGAUAAGCAAAGUCAAGUUUAUAAAUUUGUCUACAAAUUACAUAUUUUUCAUUAAGUUCAUUUAUUAUUCUAAACUACACCCUCUCAGAAUAGUUUAGUUACUUCUGGUCACAGUUGAGCACCUUAGGGCUCUUGUUCUAUAAUUUGAUUGUUUUGGAAAAUUGUCAUUUUGCCAAAAUGUGAGCAAGUCCAAAUUUAAUUAACCCUGCUUUGUAGUAUCUUGUUUUCCUUAUAUGUUAAAAGUGGAAAAUUAUCUAUGAAUCUGACUGCAUAGAUAUUUGGUAUUCAGCAAAGCAUCGUGUAA
This is a long non-coding RNA of Dreissena polymorpha, 5233 nucleotides long. RefSeq lists it as uncharacterized. The record is from RefSeq and is a predicted model, not a curated record. The transcript has 5 exons. NCBI's taxonomy places the organism in Eukaryota, Metazoa, Mollusca, Bivalvia, Myida, Dreissenidae.